Molecule: ribosomal RNA, 440 nt
Filed under: uncultured bacterium
Lineage: Bacteria
Description: bacterial SSU rRNA
Rfam family: Bacterial small subunit ribosomal RNA
Source: RNAcentral
CCUANGGGCGGCAGCAGUUGGGGAUAUUGCACAAUGGAGGAAACUCUGAUGCAGCGACGCCGCGUGAGGGAAGAAGGUUUUCGGAUUGUAAACCUCUGUCUUCGGGGACGAUAAUGACGGUACCCGAGGAGGAAGCCACGGCUAACUACGUGCCAGCAGCCGCGGUAAUACGUAGGUGGCGAGCGUUGUCCGGAAUUACUGGGUGUAAAGGGAGCGUAGGCGGUUUGGUAAGUUGAGUGUGAAAUCUACCGGCUUAACUGGUAGGCUGCGCUCAAAACUACCGAACUUGAGUGAAGUAGAGGCAGGCGGAAUUCCCGGUGUAGCGGUGGAAUGCGUAGAUAUCGGGAGGAACACCAGUGGCGAAGGCGGCCUGCUGGGCUUUUACUGACGCUGAGGCUCGAAAGCAUGGGGAGCAAACAGGAUUAGAUACCCUANUANUC